RNAcentral lists this ribosomal RNA (253 nucleotides) under uncultured bacterium. RNAcentral describes it as "partial 16S ribosomal RNA". It matches the Rfam family "Archaeal small subunit ribosomal RNA", at positions 474 to 727 of the family's 1478-position model. The record is from RNAcentral. RNAcentral also lists the same sequence under 1 other name.
UACCAGCACCCCGAGUGGUCGGGACGAUUAUUGGGCCUAAAGCAUCCGUAGCCGGUUCUUCAAGUCUUCCGUUAAAUCCAGCCGCUCAACGGAUGGGCUGCGGAAGAUACUAAAGGACUAGGAGGCGGGAGAGGCAAGCGGUACUCAGUGGGUAGGGGUAAAAUCCUUUGAUCCAUUGAAGACCACCAGUGGCGAAGGCGGCUUGCCAGAACGCGCUCGACGGUGAGGGAUGAAAGCUGGGGGAGCAAACCGG